Molecule: ribosomal RNA, 253 nt
Filed under: uncultured bacterium
Lineage: Bacteria
Description: partial 16S ribosomal RNA
Rfam family: Bacterial small subunit ribosomal RNA
Source: RNAcentral
UACGGAGGGUGCUAGCGUUGUUCGGAAUUACUGGGCGUAAAGGGCGCGUAGGCGGCCGUUUGCGUCGGAUGUGAAAGCCCGGGGCUCAACCUCGGAACGGCAUUCGAUACGGGACGGCUGGAGACCGGGAGAGGAGAGUGGAAUAGCCAGUGUAGAGGUGAAAUUCGUAGAUAUUGGCUGGAACACCGGUGGCGAAGGCGGCUCUCUGGCCCGGUUCUGACGCUGAGGCGCGAAAGCGUGGGGAGCAAACAGG